Molecule: long non-coding RNA, 568 nt
Organism: Physeter macrocephalus (sperm whale)
Lineage: Eukaryota; Metazoa; Chordata; Mammalia; Artiodactyla; Physeteridae
Exons: 4
Source: RefSeq, a predicted model, not a curated record
GAAGCCCGAGGCGCGGGCCGGGCGUCGGAGCCUCGGCUCAGCUGUGCGCCCGCCGCCUGCCCUGGGCCGGGCCUCGCACAGGGAAAUGUUAAAUGUGAGGCUGUUAGUCAUCCAUGGGGUCAGCUCCCCACACACACCUUUGCCUCGUUUGGAAGUGAGGGGUAGCCACUGCCGCCUCCUGUCUGGGUGAAGUUAGGCCCAGGGCACGGGUAAAUGGAAGCUCAUGCCUGUUCUCAACUGAAAGGACCCUCAUUUUCUCCGAGAUGAAAGCUGAAGAAACUAAGAUAAACAUCAAGAUGUCUACAGCUUGCAAAUGGUUCAAGGGGAAAAAAGAAACAGCUCAUUCAUUCAUUCCAUCAGCUCCCACGUCAAAGGAAGAAUCAAUCUGCACAAACUGGGGGUUAAUUAUCAUUAAAAGGGAAGGAGGCUGAAGAUGAUGCUGAUGAUCCGGCAGAGCUGACCCUCCCCAGACUCCCCAAUCCUCCCAGCCUCUCAAGCCCGGUGGGGGGCCAGUGUCCCCAUAUCAGCCAGCUCCUCAGGCCACUGCUGGCACUUCUCACCCCACACC